This 265-nucleotide ribosomal RNA is filed under the name uncultured bacterium. RNAcentral's name for it is "partial 16S ribosomal RNA". It matches the Rfam family "Bacterial small subunit ribosomal RNA", at positions 37 to 339 of the family's 1533-position model. The record is from RNAcentral.
UAGCGGUGCGCCUAACACAUGCAAGUCGAGCGAUAUAGCGGCGAACGGGUGAGUAACACGUUGGAACCUGCCCCAGACUCAGGGAUAGCCCACCGAAAGGUGGAUUAAUACCGGAUGCCCCAGCAAUGGGAAAGAUUUAUCGGUCUGGGAGGGGCCCUGCGCAGUAUCAGCUUGUUGGUAAGGUAAUGGCUUACCAAGGCUACGACGCUUAACUGGUCUGAGAGGAUGAUCAGUCACAAUGGAACUGAGACAAGGUCCAUACUCC